Molecule: ribosomal RNA, 372 nt
Filed under: uncultured bacterium
Lineage: Bacteria
Description: bacterial SSU rRNA
Rfam family: Bacterial small subunit ribosomal RNA
Source: RNAcentral
AACGAACGCUGGCGGCAUGCCUAACACAUGCAAGUCGAACGGGAUCCUGGCUUCGGUCAGGUGAGAGUGGCGGACGGGUGAGUAACGCGUGGGAACCUGCCCAGUGGUGGGGGAUAACUGCGGGAAACUGCAGCUAAUACCGCAUGAGCCCGAAAGGGGAAAGAUUUAUCGCCAUUGGAGGGGCCCGCGUUCGAUUAGGUAGUUGGUGAGGUAAAGGCUCACCAAGCCGACGAUCGAUAGCUGGUCUGAGAGGAUGAUCAGCCACACUGGGACUGAGAUACGGCCCAGACUCCUACGGGAGGCAGCAGUGGGGGAAUAUUGGACAAUGGGGGGCAACCCUGAUCCAGCAAUGCCGCGUGAGUGAAGAAGGCC